This 253-nucleotide ribosomal RNA is filed under the name uncultured bacterium. Its description in RNAcentral is "partial 16S ribosomal RNA". It matches the Rfam family "Bacterial small subunit ribosomal RNA", at positions 524 to 776 of the family's 1533-position model. The record is from RNAcentral.
UACGUAGGGUGCAAGCGUUGUCCGGAAUUAUUGGGCGUAAAGAGCUUGUAGGCGGUUUGUCGCGUCUGCUGUGAAAUUUCGGGGCUCAACCCCGAACUUGCAGUGGGUACGGGCAGACUAGAGUGUGGUAGGGGAGACUGGAAUUCCUGGUGUAGCGGUGAAAUGCGCAGAUAUCGGGAGGAACACCCGUAGCGAAGGCGGCACUCUGGGCCGGUACUGACGCUGAGGAGCGAAAGCGUGGGGAGCAAACAGG